This 1224-nucleotide long non-coding RNA is filed under the name Ricinus communis (castor bean). RNAcentral describes it as "long non-coding RNA (RCOM_LNC000797)". The record is from RNAcentral. Lineage: Eukaryota; Viridiplantae; Streptophyta; Magnoliopsida; Malpighiales; Euphorbiaceae.
GAGGCACCAGAGCUGAGCUAGGAGGUCGCCAAACCUGUGAGUUAAAGUCAUAUAUCGUUUACGCACGUGUCAUGCAUAAAAUUUGAUUUGCUAGUGUGAAUAUUUAUUUGCAAUUUUAAUUUUUCAUUCAAUUAUUAUUAUUAUCAUUUGCAUGAUGCUUUUAAUUACUAUUUAAAUAUGUUUUUCCUUUAUUACCAAUUUUAAUAUUGCAUGAUGACUCAGGAUGGGACGGCAGUAGAACAUAGGAGUUGGAUGAGUGUCCAAUAUAAUAUGAGAGAGAUAGGAAAAGGGUAAAGAGGUAAAAAUUUUAAGAAAGAAAGAUUAGGACCUGCCCUGGUCGAGCAUCGCUCUCUGGGCUUAGUAGAGUGUGGUUGCCGGAGUAAAGGUCCCUGGUCGAGCAUUGCUCUCGGGGCGCCGGCUUAUUUGGAUAUUUAAGUGACCAGACUGGAGGUAAGGUCCCUGGUCGAGCUUUGCUCUCGGGGCGCCAGUCUUAUUAGAUUAAGAGAGUCGAAUGGCUAUUAGAUUUCUUAUUUGGAUACUUAAGUGACCAGACUGGAGGUAAGGUCCCUGGUCGAGCUUUGCUCUCGGGGCGCCAGUCUUAUUGGAUAAGAGAGCCAAAAGGCUAAGGCUGAGAGUUAAGUGACCGAACUGGAGGUAAGGUCCCUGGUCGAGCUUUGCUCUCUGGGCGCCAGUCCUGUUGGAAUGAGAGGUUUGAGAUGAUAGAGUUGAGGUUAGUUGAGACAUAAGUGUUGAAAUAAUCGAGAUUUUAGAGUUGGGAUUAGAGUUCUACUGAAGUACUCCGUCCCGUUGCAUGUGGAAUAAAUUUUGUUUAAGCAUGGCAUGACACGUAUGGUUCGCGUGAUUUAUUAAUUAUUUUAAAAUUAAAUGAAUGUGACAUUGAGAUAUUUGAAACUGUUUUAGAUAUAUGAUUUUAACUCACUCUCGAGACUGACAGUCUCCAUUUAUGUUUUUUUCAUAUUCGUGACUGUUAGUUCUCCCGCGACUCUUAUUCAGUAACCCGACUCCUUCAUCAUCGGGUGAUGUAUUUGAUUUGGUAUGUAAAAUGGUAAAUCUUAGAUUCUCCGCAGUAGUAAUAGUAGAUGUAUCAGUUGUAAAUUUUCUGAGCUUCGGGUCUCGCCUAGUUUUUCUGGCAGACCGAAGUAUUUAUGUAGAAUGUGGCUAUUAAGAUAAUUUAUGGUUUUAAUAAUAUUAAUUUGAGAUGAG